GGCUAUUUAUGUAAGACCACAGUGAUACAGUCCUUUUAGGAAGAUUCUAUAAGAAGGAAAAAAUAGGUUAAGAUUCUCCAUUACAUAAGCUUUACAUAAUACUUUAGAUGAAAUUUGUAAAAAGGUAAACUGAUCAUUAUAAUCUUUUUAGAGGGAGAGAACUUAGAAGACAUUUCAGCGAUAGCCCCACAUAGACUAAAAUCGAGGGAUAGUGAAAAACCGUGCAGUUCCUCAAAAAGUUAAACAGUUACCAUACCAGCAGUUCCACUCUUAAGUAUAAACCUAAGAGAAGUGAAAACACAUGCACACAGAAACUGGUACACAAAUGUUCAAAGUAGCACCAUUCAUAAUAGCCAAAAAGUAGAAACCACUCAAAAGUCCAUCAACUGAUAAAUGGAUACAAUGUGGUAUAUCCAUACAAUGAAAUAUUAUGUAGUCAUAAAAAGGAAUGAAGUACUCAUACAUGCUACAAAUUGAGCCUUGAAAACAUGCUAAGUUAAUGAAGCUAGACACAAAGGCCACACCUUGAACGAAACGUCCAGAAGAGGCAAACGAGACAGAUGAGUGUUUGCCAGGGUCUGAGAGGAGAGGAGAAUGGGGAGUAACUACUAAUCGGUACAGGGUUUCUUGUCAAUGUUCUUAAAUUAAUAGUGGUGAUGGUUAUACAACUCUAGAUAUGCUAAAACCACUAAAUUAUACACUUUAAAACAAUUUUAUGGAAUGCAAACUAUAGCUCAGUUUAAAAAAUGUUUCUUUUUUUAAGGAUAUAGUAAAUCCUAUUUUUAAGUCUCUCAAAAGAUAGAAGUAUCUUUGGAAGUUACCUACAUUCUUAAUUAUCUAACAAACAUUCAGUAAAUUCUUGAGUGCCUGCUGUGCAUGGAAAUAUUUACUGCAUGCUAGAUACUGAAGAUACAGUGGUGAAUUAAAUUAUUUCUAUCUUCAAGGAACUUAGAGUCUAGGAAGCACGUACUAUGUGGCAGCUGUUGUAGUGUUUUGUAUUUUAUUUAAUCGUCGCAAUAGUAAGUCCUAUUAAGAACUUAAGUAUGUGCUGUUAUCCCUACUUUAUACAGAAGCUUUGCCCCAGGUCACACAAGUAAGUGAAAGAUGCAAGAUUCGAACCCAGGCAGCCUGGUUCCUGAGCAAGCACUCUGUCAUUAUGCUUCACAGAAAAGCAUGAAGAAACUAUUUUACAGCCACGUUUUAGAAUGAAGACUGAUGCAGAGGGAGACACUAAUCAAGAUCAUUUAGAAUCGUACAGAGGAAGACGAAGUAAAACCUGAAAUGUACUCCUUACGUGGUUUCUUCUAAAUAAUACCAACCACUUAAGAGUGAGAUCUCUAGGGAAGGGGAUUAACAAAUUUUAACUUUCUACAUAAUAAUCUUUUCAGUAUUUGAAUGUUUUACAGUAUCAUUUUACACUUUAAAAAACUAAAAUGGCUCAUACGUAUGCAAAAUAUAUUUGGGGAUUUGAGCCGUCCAUUCAUUCAGAUGUAUAUUCUUUUUGCUGAUUAUAUUGUUCUCCAGCUGUCCUGAUGGGUUUCCAUCCUGCAGAGAGUAACAGGCACCGUGGUGCUCCCAGGACCCCACGGACUUCAGCUCCCCAGCAGGCACUGCUCCCUACCCAGAAACUCAGCUGACUGACAGCUGGCUGGCAUGUUCCAUCUUGUGACGGAGGAACUGUGAUAGUUCGGGUACCACGCUGGCAGAAAGCCAUGACCAAGGUCCAGCGGACGACGGGGCUGGUGAGGGGGUUAGGAUGAGAAAAGACGGAAGGAGAAGGAUCUUUAGCCAGAAGAGCUGAAGAUUAUGAACGACACGUGAAGACGGCUACUUUCAAGUAUCUGAAGGGCUAUCUCAUUUGGUUAGUAAUCAUACUUGUUCUCCUUGUCUCCAAAGGGGGAUGUAAGAAAAUGAGAAGGAGAUUUUAGUCACUGUGAGGAAGAAGGUUCGAGGAGGUACUUUGAGACUGGACAGCCUCAGGAAGGGACCUGCUGCUUAUUUCUGAAGGGGUUAAAGAAGAAACUAACGACUUCAUGGGGACACCAUAGAAGACAUUCAGCAAUUAAUGCCUGGACUGUGAGGCCCUUCCAACCUUUAGAUUUGAUACCAAUGACAACAACAAAAUAAAUUCUGAGACAGACAGAAGGCACAGAAAAUUGUCAUUUCCGUAAAACUAACUACAACACUUUCCAAACCCAUGGUCAUAAGAGUGUUAGUUCCUUAAAAAGGAAAACAGAAAAGCCAUUUUAUUCCCCAGUCUAAGUUGAAUUACUCAUUUUUCUCUGUCAUUUCUUUUAGUUCCAGCCUGUUUUUUUUUAAGACCCUGGUCCUGUGUGAGCAGUGCAGCUUUGCAGGGCUACUUUAAAUUAAGAAUAAUUAAGCCAUUUUCAUCUUAAGUCUACAGGAAAAGCUAGACGUGCCCUGUGUGUAACUCCAUAACCAUUCGUGCUAAUCUGAACUGUCAUCUGAAGGUGAAAAUCACAGGAUGACAGUUCACGUUUCCUGGCACAGAUCACACAGAGACUGGGGCAGACACCUGACAAAUUGCUAACCCCUGGCUCCAGACUGCAGGGCCAUGGUAGGAUAUCCUAGCAUUUUCCAAAACAGCCCAAAUGUUCUCUCGAGAAGUUUAACCCUUUAAAAUAAAUGAUCAGUUUCAGAUGAAUAGUGAAUAAAAGGCAUCAUUUUCACACGAGAUGCAUAUGUGAUACACCGAGUCCAGGUUCUUUACUCACAAGCUGAAACCGAUGUCCAAAGCUGAGCCAUUCUUUUUCCACAAGGACUUCAAAGCCCCGGAUGGUUCGAUAGUACCCAUCCAGCAUGAGCAUGGCCAGGGAGGUGAGCUGAGCCGUGCGGUCCCAGCCAUCGCUGCAGUGUACGACCACUGACGUCUUUCCUGACUCCACCUUGUCAGCAAUCCGAAGAGCCCCUGCAAGAAUAAGCUGCAAAACAGAUUUUUUAAAUGAAAUUUUUAAUAAAGUAACUUCCUUCUUCAAAAUUUACUAACAGGGUUUUGUUAGAGAUGACUGUCUCAAUAACUUGUGGAGGAAAAAAAUAUCAGUCCCUUCCUAAAAAGAAUUUUUGUAAAUGGUAGAAGAUACAUAAAUUCUACUUUUAAAACUAUAAAAAUCUCAUAAAUGCAGACUCCUAUUAGUCUGCACAAUGAAAGGUACCUUUGGAUUCUAAACAAAUCAAGACUAUGAGUACGAGGACAAAGGAUUAACUUCUAAAGAGAUCUGUUUCAACUAUUCCAACAUCAUCCGUUUAAAUAAAAAUAAUACACCAACUGAAGGCAUCUGUUAUUUAAACAAUACUCAAUCAAAUUAGAAUAGAUAUGAAAGCAGUAAAACUGGAUAUUCUAAAAUAUUCUGUAACUUCUAUAGCAUUUAUUUUGCUGUUUUUAUAUAUGUCACACAGCAUACAACAAGUACAACUGCUUUUUUGUAUCAGAUAUAUUACCAUGUCAAUUUAGCUGGUAUCUAAAAUAGUUUAUUUUCUUUUAAGAUGUAGAUAUUCUUUGCAAAGUUAAUUUUGAGUUAAAACUAGACAGGAUUAGAUGUAAGCAAAAAGAAACACAGAACUGUAAUAUCCUUUAAAAUGAACAAUAUAUCCCCAUUCUUCUCUGCAGUGGCCAUGUCACACUUAAAGAACAGCAUGAUUCCACAAAUGUGUAUCAGAAUGAAAGGAAAGAUACACUAGGCUUGGAGAAUCUAAUGAUGACCUUCUUUUUUAUCAUAACUGCAGGCAUAUUCUGGAAAUGGGGUUCGCUGAAGCAAUCUCAAUCCUGACUGGGCAUCAGAGUCAUCUGUGGGCAUUAAAAAAAAAAAGCCUGGUCCCCAU
This is a long non-coding RNA of Camelus dromedarius (Arabian camel), 3840 nucleotides long. RefSeq lists it as uncharacterized. The transcript has 2 exons. Lineage: Eukaryota; Metazoa; Chordata; Mammalia; Artiodactyla; Camelidae. The record is from RefSeq and is a predicted model, not a curated record.